GACGAACGCUGGCGGCAGGCCUAACACAUGCAAGUCGGGCGGAGCGGCGAACGGGUGAGUAAUGCCUAGGAAUCUGCCUGGUAGUGGGGGAUAACGUCCGGACAAGGGCGCUAAUACCGCAUACUAUCAGAUGAGCCUAGGUCGGAUUAUCUAGUUGGUGGGGUAAAGGCCUACCAAGGCGACGCUCCGUAACUGGUCUGAGAGGAUGAUCAGUCACACUUGAACAGAGACACGGUCCAGACUACUACGGGAGGCAGCAGUGGGUAAUAUUGGACAAUGGGCGAAAGCCUGAUCCAGCCAGGCCGGGUGUGUGAAGAAGGUCUUCGGAUUGUAAAGCACUUUAAGUUGGGAGGCGUUACCAACAGAAUAAGCACCGGCUAACUUCGUGCCAGCAGCCGCGGUAAUU
This 406-nucleotide ribosomal RNA is filed under the name uncultured bacterium. RNAcentral's name for it is "partial 16S ribosomal RNA". It matches the Rfam family "Bacterial small subunit ribosomal RNA", at positions 28 to 525 of the family's 1533-position model. The record is from RNAcentral.